Arachis ipaensis is the source of this 867-nucleotide non-coding RNA. NCBI's taxonomy places the organism in Eukaryota, Viridiplantae, Streptophyta, Magnoliopsida, Fabales, Fabaceae. The record is from RefSeq and is a predicted model, not a curated record.
AAGAAAAACAAAACCCCUUUCCUCCACGGGCCUUCAAUUCAUCAUCUUCUUCUCCUUUUACUGAAAGAAAGUCUGAGACAAAACCCCAACCCUAACAAGCACAAACUCAUCUUCAUCUUCCUCUCUUCGAUGAUGGCAAUAGAGGAGACAUUGACGUGUGCUCUUCUUUGCUAAUUCAUCCUCAUCUUCAUCUUCCUCAGACAUUGACGUGCUACUAAAUCAUCUUCUUCUUCGUCUUCUUCUCUUCGAGGAUGGCAAUGGAGGUCUUGAAACGCGUUUGAGCUUUGAUUCUCUCUGCUUGUAGUUCGAGAUUCAAUCUUCUCUGCUCGCAAUCGAGAUUCGAUCCACUUUGUUCGCGUUUGACCUUCGAUCGUCUCCGCUAGCAGUUCGAGCUUCCAUCAUUUCUGCUCACUUGUUCAUCACCGGGUUUUGCUUGCCGUUCAUCUAUGAUCUCUUCCAAUUUUCCAGCGUUCUUCUGCUAGGGUUCAUCACCGCUGAUCAUUGUUUUACAGCUGUUUGAUUUUGCUGACAAGUAUAGAGGAUCGUACUCGCUUUCUUGCCCAUUCUACUGCUCCUACUCAGGUUACCAGGUAUAAUCUGCCUUGGGUAACGAUGAGGUUAGAAAAACUCUUCAAACCAUUAAUUUUUAGUAUUUUUCAUUUUUUUGUUAUUAUUUAAUCUUUAUAAAUACUAAAUUAUUUUUAACAUUGGAUUUCCAAGUCAUGGUUAAUUUGUUAGCGCCCUGAGGCUUGCUCUGUAGUCGGUUCCAUUGAAUGUUCAAUAAAUAUACUUUUAGAAAUUUAAUUUCUAUGUUCACAAUGUAUUUUUUUUCUGGUAAUGCUAAUUUGACUACCUUAACAUCUCCAA